This 62-nucleotide non-coding RNA is filed under the name Streptomyces qinglanensis. Its description in RNAcentral is "Streptomyces sp. 172205 Streptomyces RNA 2736". It matches the Rfam family "Streptomyces RNA 2736". From Rfam's summary of the family: Identified by deep sequencing of transcriptome at the end of exponential growth phase. Appears smaller on northern blot than sequencing transcript. This indicates processing step. Lineage: Bacteria; Bacillati; Actinomycetota; Actinomycetes; Kitasatosporales; Streptomycetaceae. The record is from Rfam by way of RNAcentral.
CGCCCGGCCAGGAUCCCGUGGGGGGAAUCCAUGACCGGGAAUGGAAGCGCCCCGUCGACGGG